GCAAGCAUGGUGCAGUGGUUUAAGCAUUGGACUACAACUCUGGAGACCAGGGUUCAAAUCCCUGUUCAGCCA
RNAcentral lists this transfer RNA (72 nucleotides) under Phrynosoma platyrhinos (Desert horned lizard). RNAcentral describes it as "tRNA-OTHER". Lineage: Eukaryota; Metazoa; Chordata; Lepidosauria; Squamata; Phrynosomatidae. The record is from RNAcentral.